This 253-nucleotide ribosomal RNA is filed under the name uncultured Bacteroides sp. Its description in RNAcentral is "partial 16S ribosomal RNA". It matches the Rfam family "Bacterial small subunit ribosomal RNA", at positions 524 to 776 of the family's 1533-position model. Lineage: Bacteria; Pseudomonadati; Bacteroidota; Bacteroidia; Bacteroidales; Bacteroidaceae. The record is from RNAcentral.
UACGGAGGAUUCAAGCGUUAUCCGGAUUUAUUGGGUUUAAAGGGUGCGUAGGCGGUUUGAUAAGUUAGAGGUGAAAUACCGGUGCUCAACACCGGAACUGCCUCUAAUACUGUUGAACUAGAGAGUAGUUGCGGUAGGCGGAAUGUAUGGUGUAGCGGUGAAAUGCAUAGAUAUCGCGCAGAACUCCGAUUGCGAAGGCAGCAUGCCGGCUCCACACUGACGUUGAGGCACGAAAGCGUGGGGAGCAAACAGG